This 374-nucleotide ribosomal RNA is filed under the name uncultured bacterium. Its description in RNAcentral is "bacterial SSU rRNA". It matches the Rfam family "Bacterial small subunit ribosomal RNA", at positions 527 to 898 of the family's 1533-position model. The record is from RNAcentral.
GUAGGGCGCGAGCGUUGUCCGGAUUGAUUGGGCGUAAAGAGCUCGUAGGCGGCUCGUUGCGUCGGCUGUGAAAACCCGCAGCUCAACUGUGGGCCUGCAGCCGAUACGGGCGGGCUGGAGUUCGGUAGGGGAGACUGGAAUUCCUGGUGUAGCGGUGAAAUGCGCAGAUAUCAGGAGGAACACCGGUGGCGAAGGCGGGUCUCUGGGCCGAUACUGACGCUGAGGAGCGAAAGCGUGGGGAGCGAACAGGAUUAGAUACCCUGGUAGUCCACGCUGUAAACGUUGGGCGCUAGGUGUGGGGGGCCUCUCCGGUUCUCUGUGCCGCAGCUAACGCAUUAAGCGCCCCGCCUGGGGAGUACGGCCGCAAGGCUAAA